UGGUUGCAAAGCUGACACUUAAAGGAAUUGACGGAAGGGCACCACCAGAAAUGGAGCCUGCGGCUUAAUUUGACUCAACACGGGUAAGCUCACCCGGUCCGGACACAGGAAGGAUUGACAGAUUGAUAGCUCUUUCUUGAUUCUGUGGGUGGUGGUGCAUGGCCGUUCUUAGUUGGUGGGGUGACUUGUCUGGUUAAUUCCGAUAACGAACGAGACUCUAGCCUACUAAAUAGACGCACCCGCCCUCAACGGGCGGGACGUUCUUCUUAGAGGGACAAGCGGCUCUCAGCCGCACGAGACAGAGCAAUAACAGGUCUGUGAUGCCCUUAGAUGUCCGGGGCCGCACGCGCGCUACAUUGGAGGAGGCAGCGUGUGCUUUCCCUGGCCGAAAGGUCUGGGCAACCCGAUCAGUCUCCUCCGUGCUGGGGACAGGGGAUUGUAAUUGUUCCCCUCGAACGAGGAAUUCCCAGUAAGCGCGAGUCAUCAGCUCGUGCUGACUAAGUCCCUGCCCUUUGUACACACCGCCCGUCGCUACUACCGAUUGAAUGAUUCGGUGAGGUCUUCGGACUGGCGCUCGGUUCAGCCCUCGCGGUGGAGCUGGCGUGCCGGAAAGAUGACCGAACUUGAUUAUUUAGAGGAAGUAAAAGUCGUAACAAGGUUUCCGUAGG
RNAcentral lists this ribosomal RNA (668 nucleotides) under Herennia sp. FAPDNA031. RNAcentral's name for it is "bacterial SSU rRNA". It matches the Rfam family "Eukaryotic small subunit ribosomal RNA", at positions 1126 to 1809 of the family's 1831-position model. The record is from RNAcentral. Lineage: Eukaryota; Metazoa; Arthropoda; Arachnida; Araneae; Nephilidae.